Molecule: ribosomal RNA, 1296 nt
Filed under: Triticum aestivum (bread wheat)
Lineage: Eukaryota; Viridiplantae; Streptophyta; Magnoliopsida; Poales; Poaceae
Description: partial small subunit ribosomal RNA
Source: RNAcentral
AUGGAUUCCUCCUCACAACUCCUCAACGCUGCAACGGCGGCCAACUCAUCCUUCUACCUGUCCCAAUGGAGAUCACAGGUGAUAAUGGGAGUGGAAUCCUCCUUGCUUGCACAGCAGAGCAGCCUCCUCCGCACGGUCCUCGCAUGCAUCCUCUCCUUCUUGGCAGCGACCAUGUCCAGCGCCGCGGGCGUCGGCGGUGGCUCGCUGUACGUCCCAAUCCUCAACAUCGUGGCCGGGCUGAGCCUCAAGACCUCCGUGGCGUUCUCGACGUUCAUGGUGACCGGCGGCACGCUGUCCAACGUGCUCUACACCCUGCUGGCCCGCGGCCCCGGGCUGAUCGAUUACGAUGUCGCCGUGGUCUCGCAGCCGUGCCUGCUCCUCGGGGUGAGCGUCGGGGUGGUGUGCAACAUCAUGUUCCCUGAGUGGCUCAUCACCGUGCUCUUUGCCGCAUUCCUCUCCUUGGCAACAUUCAAGACAUACGGCACCGGGUUAAAGCGGUGGCCUGCGGAGUCGGCAGCGACGGCCAGGGGGGUGCUUGAGGGAGCGAGCACCAGGGAGGGUGCCGAGGAAGCGCUGCUUAUUGGCCAGAAAGAAGGGGCCGACCAUGGGUAUCACUGGGUGGACUUAGCAGUGCUUUUCUCCGUCUGGCUUUGCUUCUUCGUCAUUCAUCUGUUCAUAGGAGGUGAGGGUGCCAAGGGGGCCUUUGACAUAAAGCCAUGUGGAGUUGCAUACUGGCUCAUCACAGUCGCUCAAAUCCCUGUCGCCGUGGCUUUCACGGCAUGUAUCGUGCACCAAAAAGGAAUAUCGCAGACUCGGAAAAGCCAAGUGGUUGAGCUGGCAACUUCCAUGAAGAGCAGGCUGGACGCUUUGCCGGUGUACGCCUUCCCGGUGGCUGCUCUGCUGACCGGUGUGAUGGGCGGACUCUUCGGCAUUGGAGGAGGACUGCUUCUCAAUCCUGUCUUACUCCACAUUGGAGUGCCCCCAAAAACAGCGUCAGCGACGACAAUGUUCAUGGUCCUCUUCUGCGCCUCCAUGUCGAUGGUCCAGUUUAUAAUCCUGGGAGUUGACGGGAUCCUGGGUGCGUUGGUCUACGCCCUCACCUGCUUUGUGGCUUCCAUCGUUGGGCUGGUCGUGAUAGAAGGGGCCAUCAGGAAGUCAGGCAGGGUUUCACUCAUCGUCCUAAUUGUUGCUGCCAUCUUGGCGCUCAGCGCCAUCGUCAUAGCUUGCUCCGGCGGGGUGCAUGUCUGGGCGCAGUACACCAGUGGGCAGUACAUGGGCUUCAAGCUCCCAUGCUAA